This 327-nucleotide unclassified non-coding RNA is filed under the name uncultured fungus. RNAcentral's name for it is "partial contains 5.8S ribosomal RNA, internal transcribed spacer 2, and large subunit ribosomal RNA". The record is from RNAcentral. Lineage: Eukaryota; Fungi.
AACGCACCUUGCACCCUUUGGUAUUCCGAAGGGUACGCCCGUUUGAGUGUCAUUGUACUCUCACCACUUCCCUUUCUCACGAAGGGGGAGGCGGUGGACUUGGACGCUUGCCGCGAUUCAUCGAGGCUCGUCCCAAAUGCAGGAGUGUGACCCCCCCCUUGUCGGUGUCAUCCGGUGUGAUAAGCAUCUUCACUGGAGCGUCCUCGAUCGGCCUUCGGGUCUUUCGAAGAGCAUCGUUGGGUGUGGUAUUCGCUACCAACCGUCUUCCUUGAAGACAAUCCUUGACAAUUUGACCUCAGAUCGGGCGGGACUACCCGCUGAACUUAA